UUUAGGUUCCCCCGCCUCUCUCUUUCUCUCUCUCAUUUCUCACUUUGUCUGUCUCACAUUCAACCUCUCUCUCUCUCAGAGCAAUUUGAGCCCAUCGUCUACUCGUUGGUCCGUACUCGCCUUCUUUGAUCUUUUCCCACUGGAGAGUUGUCGCCCAGGCUUGUUUAGGUCCUUCUCUCUCCGGUCUCACGCCUCUCUUCGCAUCUGAGCUCCCGGAAGAACAACCGGCUGUAUUAGUGUGUUUUGGGGCUCUUUUUGUCUAUUGGAGAUGUGAGUGGCGGCUGAAUAGCUGAGGAGGGAUUUCUUUCCCUCUUUCGAAUGGUUGUUUCCCACUAAGCUGCUAUGUCACCAGCCCAGAUUUGAGUUUCGUUACCAAGGAAAGCCUUUGUUUCCGAGUUUGGAUGUGACUAAUCCUAUGGCCUCUCUGUCUGAUUGUUCAUUUGCAUCGUAAUUCAGUGUUAAUCCUUUGUUAAA
This is a long non-coding RNA of Syzygium oleosum, 474 nucleotides long. RefSeq lists it as uncharacterized. The record is from RefSeq and is a predicted model, not a curated record. The transcript has 2 exons. NCBI's taxonomy places the organism in Eukaryota, Viridiplantae, Streptophyta, Magnoliopsida, Myrtales, Myrtaceae.